UAACGCGAAGAACCUUACCAACCCUUGACAUCCUAGGACCACCCGAGAGAUCGGGCUUUCACUUCGGUGACCUAGUGACAGGUGCUGCAUGGCUGUCGUCAGCUCGUGUCGUGAGAUGUUCGGUUAAGUCCGGCAACGAGCGCAACCCACAUCCUUAGUUGCCAGCAGUUCGGCUGGGCACUCUAGGGAAACUGCCCGUGAUAAGCGGGAGGAAGGUGUGGAUGACGUCAAGUCCUCAUGGCCCUUACGGGUUGGGCUACACACGUGCUACAAUGGCAGUGACAAUGGGUUAAUCCCCAAAAACUGUCUCAGUUCGGAUUGGGGUCUGCAACUCGACCCCAUGAAGUCGGAAUCGCUAGUAAUCGCGUAACAGCAUGACGCGGUGAAUACGUUCCCCGGGUCUGUACACACCG
Molecule: ribosomal RNA, 413 nt
Filed under: uncultured bacterium
Lineage: Bacteria
Description: bacterial SSU rRNA
Rfam family: Bacterial small subunit ribosomal RNA
Source: RNAcentral